This 708-nucleotide ribosomal RNA is filed under the name Triticum aestivum (bread wheat). RNAcentral's name for it is "partial small subunit ribosomal RNA". Lineage: Eukaryota; Viridiplantae; Streptophyta; Magnoliopsida; Poales; Poaceae. The record is from RNAcentral.
AUGACGGCUGCGCUUGCCGGGCGGAGCCAUGAAGUACGGGGCCAAGUGCCCUUGCAGGACCUGCGCCAGGAUGGGGAGCAUCUCCAGCAACACAUGCAGCCCACUGCUGCUCCGGACCAGACUAUCCUGGCGGGUCAGGGGGCCCUGUGUACUAUGGCGAUGGUGGUGCCCAACCAAACCACAGAGCAUGGCCAUCUCCUAUUCCAGCCGGGAAUGCUUGAGGCACUAACCAGUGCUGUGGCUGCUAAAUUCGCUGCAGCAAAUGCCAAGGGAGAUUUUGGGGAGCCUGGCUCAUCUUUUAUUUUCAAUGCCACUAAAUCUGCUACGCAGGGACACAAGAAGGUGAAAGGGAAAAAGGCUAGAAAGGAAGGAGGUGUUGAUCGUUCGGUGGAGGACCGUGAGAAAAUGAUAGGCAAAAAGAGAAGACCUCUUUCCGAUGCGCGUCCGACGGGUAGCAAUCUAGUGUUUUCUUUUGAGAAAAAUAGCAUGGAUAGUCUUGAGCGCUUACUGUAUGAUGAUGUAAAUGUCUCAAGCAAGAGAGUUUGUACGGGUAGAGUAGAGACGGUAAAAGAUGUGGAUGGUGUUGUUAGCCACGUAGCGAAGGAGACGGAUGAGAAGGAAGAAGAGUACAUGCAGGAGAGAAGGGAGUCAGUUGGAGAUGAUGGCGCAUCGGCGGCCUCCGGUGAGGAGGUCCGCCGGGCCAAAUGA